Molecule: non-coding RNA, 3264 nt
Organism: Sus scrofa (pig)
Lineage: Eukaryota; Metazoa; Chordata; Mammalia; Artiodactyla; Suidae
Source: RefSeq, a predicted model, not a curated record
AACCCACUGAGCAAGGGCAGGGAUCGAACCCACAACCUCAUGGUUCCUAGUCAGAUUCAUUAACCACUGCGCCACGACGGGAGCUCCUCUCCCCUCUGCUUUUCAGCAACACAUACGCUCCUAGUUUGCAGGCAGCUAUCGCUGGUGACCUGGAUGCUGAGAGCCUGUUAUGAAACGAGGCAGCAGCAGGAGAGAGGAGCCCAGAGCCCACGCCCACCCUGUUUGCUUUGUGAAAUUCCAGACAGUUGAAUCGGCUCUACCUCAUCCGAAGAACUCCAGAUUCCCCUUUUCUUAAUGACGUUCCCCUCCUUAAAUGCCUACACAGUUAUCUUUGAAGGAGAAAGAGAAGAGGUGAAUCACUAGCAGGAAGCGGAGGGGAGAGGUGUGCAGUUGGAACGGCAGAUGGCUGCGCGUGUGGGCACGAAGCGGUCUCUGCUGCUCCUUCCACCUCCCUCCGGAAUCGAGUGCUUUGGAAGCAGACAUUCAUUCCAGGGUGGGGGCGCUCAGGUACCAACAUGUAAUUCCACAUCCGCUCGGAUCCCUCUCAGACAUCGCAACUCGGGCUCGGGCUCAAAUUGGGCUGUUUACCCUCUUCUCGAAGCUUUGGCAUUAAACUGUCCAAAGAAAGGGGGAUAAACUCGUUUCACUUAGUGGCAACAGAAUUGGGCCUGCGGUCUGCUUUCUCCUGAGGACAUCAAGUCAGUGCAUGAAUAUUUUCUCGCGCCACAGUACAAGCUCUCUAACCUCAUAAGGGGUUAGAAACGCCUAGAGGGGAGCUGGAGGAGAGAGACUACAUGCAGAUAGCGAUCUGCGAUUAUGAAACUCAGUCCAUCAACAGACUCGCUUCCAUUGAUUUUUCUUCUCACUUCCAUCACCGCCAUCUGCCCUCCCACCCUAGACCCCAGAGCACAGGAAACCUCUUGUGAGCACACGAAUGUGCAGAGGGGUAAGAGGUUGUCUUUUUUUUUUUUUUUUUUGUGCAACAUGAGUUUUGGUAAAAUGUGUGUCUAGAAGUUGAGAUGUAUUUCUUAGCACAAAUUAUUAUAUACCACUUAGAAACAAAGAAUCGUGGUUAAGAGCAUUUUUUUAGGAAUGAACACUGCUUUAGAAUCAAUUUUAAUGACAGUCAUCUGAUUAAGAAGGCAUACGCUCAGUCCAGAAAUCAAUCCGAAUAAUCAUAAAAAAUAUUUCAGCAAUCACAAAUCCUGUAAUAAUAGAAUUUCUACCCUCACAUUCAUUAUGACUUGAUGACUCAUUAUCUCAAAGUCAUCCAUACUAACCUUCACAAAAGCACUCAUUCGUGGAUCCUAAAAAGCUUUAAAAUCAUUCUUCAUAAUUUAUAAACAUGACCAUACUGGUCUAUUUUUUGUCUUUUUCUGUCUUUUUAGGGUGACACCAGUGGCACAUGGAGGUUCCCAGGCUAGGGGUCCAAUCAGAGCUGUAGCUGCGGGCCGACGUCACGCGGGAUUCGAGCGAAGUCUGCAACCUACACCACAGCUCAUGGCAAUACCGGCUCCUCAACCCACUGAGCAAGGCCAAGGACCGAACCUGCAUCCUCAUGGAUGCUUGUCAGGUUCAUUAACCACUGAGUCACAAUGGGAACUCCCAUACUGGUCUGUUUUCUGUGCCUUUCAGGAUGCCCCAGCUUCCCCUGAGCCCUAGACUUGGCCCUUGGGCUUGUCCAGAAUGGACAGCCUCCUGAGACAGGGCUCUGGAGGGACCACCUCUCACCUGCCCUAACAGGAGCCUCAGUGGUCCCUGGCCUGGGUCUGACCUGACAAGACUCACGUGCCGCGUGCGUGGCUGCUGCCCUCCCAUCUCUUCCAGGCAGCUUCCUAAGAUGUGAAGCCUGGCUUUCCUGAUGGCUCCCCUAAGUGGCUAACAACGCAGAUGUGCAGCACUGAAUCAAGACGAGAGGCCAAGAAGAUAAAUCCUUCUUCCUCUCUCCACGCCCUCCUCCGCUGAUGGACUGCUUCAAGGUGACCUGGAGGAUGAACACCUGCUUGGGCAUAUUUCCUCGUGAGCGUAUGUCCCGUUCCUUCACAUGCCCGCCGGGUAUCUGCUUCCCUCCUCCGCUGCCUCAUCUCUCUCUCCCUCACUUCUGCAGCCCUGAGAUCACACCUCACAACGUAACAUUAACAAGUAAUUUUUGACACAGCUUUUAUUCUCUAGGCGAUCUGAUUAAAACAAUGCUUUUUUUUUUUUUAAAUCACACAUUAUAUCUCCAAUCCAGCCUCCUGCCUACAGUCCAUUCUCUUCUUAAAAAGAAUGAAUGGAGACCUAAAGUUUACAUUAAGGUUCUUUAGAGCUGCUCCAGCGAAGUGUCUCUGCGUUGAGACUCUUUUCUCUAAAUCUCAUCUAACGUUCCUGUAAGUGGGUUUCAUCGCACCGCAGUAUGACUGGGUAUUAGCAAUCCUUUUCUCUGAUUGGCUGCUUCUGCCCAGUCUGGUUGGUGGUGGACGAAGACAACUGACAGUCGCUUUCCCCACCUGCAGCCUCCUACUUACAAGCCCAUUUCCUGAUCUCCAUCCUAUUACCACUGAUGCUACCCUCUGCCUCCUUUGUGUCCUGACCUCCCCUUCCCUUUCAGCAAAUUCCUGACAUGUACUGGUGAUAGAGCCAGUUCAAGGUAGUAUUCACGAUCCUUUUGAUUCAGGAUAUGCUGUUUGGGAUAGAAUAGGUAUCUUUUAAUCGACAGCUACAGAAUAUCAGCUGCCAAGAGCAAUGUGAUAUUUGGGGGUUGUAAACCAGACACUUUAAACCAUACCUAGAUGGAGAAAAAGAAGUGAAAGGACUUUUUCACUUCUCUAUUUAAUGGACCAGAUAGUAUCUUCUUAGGGAGAGGGAGGGGUGGUGAGGAUAAAAGCUCUUCGAUAUUUAGUGGAAUCAAAAGGCAGGGACAGAAAAAAAUGGAGUUCCUGUUGUGGCUCAGUGGGAACAAACCUGGCUGGCAUCCAUGAGGACGCAGGGUCAAUCCCCGGCCUUGCUCAGUGGCCUUGAUCCAGCGUUGCCAUGAGUGUGGCGCAGGUAGCAGAUGCGGCUCGGAUCUUACAUUGCUGUGGCUGUGGUGUAGGCCAGCUUCGAUUCGACCCCUAGCCCGGGAACCUCCAUAUGCUGCGGGUGCAGCCCUAAAGAGACAGGAAAAAAAAAAAAAAAAAAGGACAAAAAAAUUAGGAAACGAAAGGCAGGGGCUGUGAAUGCUGGAAGAGAACAGGAGGGCUGCUCCUUUAAACAGUAAGGAGUUAAAAUUCCUUGGAUGUUUUG